AUAGAGAUAGACAGUUAUUAGAGAAACUGCACUGGACCUUACUGGGGUUCACUGGCCAUGCAGCGAUCCUGUUUUAGCACGACUACACUGUAAGAAAUGAGGGUUAAAUCUACUGUUCUCAUUCUGUGCAAAAUGCUGUCUAAAGUUCAGCCGCAGCUAACAUGAGGUCUCAGUAGUCUCAGUUAGACUGAGUGGGUAUCUUUGUCCUGGUAGCUGUGUGUAGGUUUACUGCCAGUGUUGUGUCUCGGCCAGAAACCUACAUACUAUCAGGACGUAUCCCUCCGAGGCCCUAUUUGUGACCUCAGCACUUCCUGUGUUACUCCGUGAUUUGGUUCGUGUUCUACGCAAAUCUUAGGAGAGAUGUGUUCAGAUGUCCUCCUCCCCAGCUCGUUCUCAGCUGUGCAGUAAUACUCUCCAGAGUCAGAGGACUGGAUGGACCUGAAGACAAGCUCUGCUUCAUUAAUGAGAGAGGGACUCGCUGACACAGAGGAGGUCUUUGGAGCAUCUGGAGGAGAUAUGAACAUGCGUUACUUAUAGGGUCAGUGUGCAGGAUUUAGUGGCAUCUAGCGGUGAAAUUGUAGUUUUCAACCAUUUGAAUACCGCUCGCCUCGUGGCAGACUCCGUGGAAGAGGACCCGCUCCCUCUGUAGAUAUAAAGGACUUAUUCUAAGACGUAGGAAAGACGACCAGCUGGACUGCAGCUGCUGUGACACUUCAGCUCUGCCUCGGUAUAACUCUGAUGGACUGCUAUUCUGCUCACCUGCACCUGCAGAGCUGGUUAUGAGAACAAGAAAACAAUAUUAUUA
Siniperca chuatsi (mandarin fish) is the source of this 805-nucleotide long non-coding RNA. RefSeq lists it as uncharacterized. Lineage: Eukaryota; Metazoa; Chordata; Actinopteri; Centrarchiformes; Sinipercidae. The record is from RefSeq and is a predicted model, not a curated record. The transcript is spliced from 4 exons.